CCAUGAGUACACGCAACUAAGGAGAGCAGCUGACUCUUAAUCAGUGGGUCCUGGGUUCGAGUCCCCGAUGGUGCACCA
This 78-nucleotide transfer RNA is filed under the name Caudoviricetes sp. Its description in RNAcentral is "tRNA-Lys". Lineage: Duplodnaviria; Heunggongvirae; Uroviricota; Caudoviricetes. The record is from RNAcentral.